AUGAACGCUGGCGGCGUGCCUCACACAUGCAAGUCGAGCGAAGCACUUACUUUAGAUUUCUUCGGAAUGACGAAGUUUGUGACUGAGCGGCGGACGGGUGAGUAACGCGUGGGCAACCUGCCCUGUACAGGGGGAUAACAGUUAGAAAUGACUGCUAAUACCGCAUAAGCCCACAGCUUCGCAUGAAGCAGUGGGAAAAACUCCGGUGGUACAGGAUGGGCCCGCGUCUGAUUAGCUAGUUGGUAAGGUAACGGCUUACCAAGGCGACGAUCAGUAGCCGACCUGAGAGGGUGACCGGCCACAUUGGGACUGAGACACGGCCCAAACUCCUACGGGAGGCAGCAGUGGGGAAUAUUGCACAAUGGGGGAAACCCUGAUGCAGCGACGCCGCGUGAGCGAUGAAGUAUUUCGGUAUGUAAAGCUCUAUCAGCAGGGAAGAAAGUGACGGUACCUGACUAAGAAGCCCCGGCUAACUACGUG
Molecule: ribosomal RNA, 480 nt
Filed under: uncultured bacterium
Lineage: Bacteria
Description: partial 16S ribosomal RNA
Rfam family: Bacterial small subunit ribosomal RNA
Source: RNAcentral